AAGUCGUAACAAGGUUUCCGUAGGUGAACCUGCGGAAGGAUCAUUAUAGAAAAACCAAAAGGGAAUGGAGGAGGAGAAAAUGGAGUAGAUGCUGGAGCAAGGGGGUGUAACCUCUCUAAGUGUGGUCCAUUUCUGAGCGCAAGAUGCGCUGGCAUGGUCUCUAAGGAGGGCCGUGCUGGGCUGGCUCAGAAAGUUUGUCCACCGAGCCGAGAGCUAGCAUGUGUCCUGGAGUAGCAGCAAUGCAUUGCAGGUGAUCUCUCUCUAGGACCCCUCUCAUCUCGGGAGUACCUUUGUGGCAUCAUGUGCGCUCAUAUAUUUCCCCCUCCUUCUCACUCUCUUCCAACCCACCCCAUUGUGAACCACCGCGCGAAAGUCAGUAAAGGGGUACACCCUCCGGGAAGCCUCCGAAAGCUUUGCGAAACCUACAUACCCGUAUGCAAGUCUCAGAAUGUACGUGUUGCGCUCCGUCGCAAACAAAAAUACAACUUUCAGCAACGGAUCUCUUGGCUCUC
This 512-nucleotide unclassified non-coding RNA is filed under the name air metagenome. Its description in RNAcentral is "partial contains small subunit ribosomal RNA, internal transcribed spacer 1, and 5.8S ribosomal RNA". The stretch from base 1 to 46 matches the Rfam family "Eukaryotic small subunit ribosomal RNA", at positions 1786 to 1831 of the family's 1831-position model. The record is from RNAcentral.